GAUGAACGCUGGCGGCGUGCUUAACACAUGCAAGUCGAACGAAGCACCUUGAUUCGAUUCUUCGGAUGAAGAUCUUGGUGACUGAGUGGCGGACGGGUGAGUAACGCGUGGGUAACCUGCCUCAUACAGGGGGAUAACAGUUAGAAAUGACUGCUAAUACCGCAUAAGACCACAGCACCGCAUGGUGCAGGGGGAAAAACUCCGGUGGUAUGAGAUGGACCCGCGUCUGAUUAGGUAGUUGGGGGGGUAACGGCCUACCAAGCCGACGAUCAGUAGCCGACCUGGGGGGGUGGCCCGCCCACUUUGGAACGAGGCACGGCCCAAACUCCCUCGGGAGGCAGCCGUGGGGAACAUUGGACCAUGGGGGGAAACCUUAUGGCGCCGCGGCGCGUGAGCCAUGAAGUAUUUCGGUAUGUAAAGCUCUAUCAGCAGGGAAGAAAAUGACGGUACCUGACUAAGAAGCACCGGCUAAAUACGUG
RNAcentral lists this ribosomal RNA (479 nucleotides) under uncultured bacterium. Its description in RNAcentral is "partial 16S ribosomal RNA". It matches the Rfam family "Bacterial small subunit ribosomal RNA", at positions 28 to 507 of the family's 1533-position model. The record is from RNAcentral.